UACGUAGGGGGCAAGCGUUGUCCGGAUUUAUUGGGCGUAAAGAGCUCGUAGGCGGCUCACUAAGUCGGAUGUGAAAACUCCAGGCUCAACCUGGAGACGCCAUUCGAUACUGGUGUGGCUUGAGUUCGGUAGGGGAGCACGGAAUUCCUGGUGUAGCGGUGAAAUGCGCAGAUAUCAGGAGGAACACCGGUGGCGAAGGCGGGUUGCUGGGCCGACACUGACGCUGAUGCGCGAAAGCCAGGGGAGCGAACGGG
Molecule: ribosomal RNA, 254 nt
Filed under: uncultured bacterium
Lineage: Bacteria
Description: partial 16S ribosomal RNA
Rfam family: Bacterial small subunit ribosomal RNA
Source: RNAcentral